Molecule: ribosomal RNA, 468 nt
Filed under: uncultured bacterium
Lineage: Bacteria
Description: partial 16S ribosomal RNA
Rfam family: Bacterial small subunit ribosomal RNA
Source: RNAcentral
GACGAACGCUGGCGGCGUGCUUAACACAUGCAAGUCGAACGGAAAGGCCCUGCUUUUGUGGGGUGCUCGAGUGGCGAACGGGUGAGUAACACGUGAGUAACCUGCCCUUGACUUUGGGAUAACUUCAGGAAACUGGGGCCAAUACCGGAUAGGAGCUCCUGCUGCAUGGUGGGGGUUGGAAAGUUUCGGCGGUUGGGGAUGGACUCGCGGCUUAUCAGCUUGUUGGUGGGGUAGUGGCUUACCAAGGCUUUGACGGGUAGCCGGCCUGAGAGGGUGACCGGCGACAUUGGGACUGAGAUACGGCCCAGACUCCUACGGUAGGCAGCAGUCGAGAGUAUUGCACAGUGGGCGGACGCCUGAUGCGGCAACGCCGCGUGCGGGAUGACGGCCUUCGGGUUGUAAACCGCUUUCGCCUGUGACGAAGAGUGAGUGACGGUAAUGAGUAAAGAAGCACCGGCUAACUACGUG